RNAcentral lists this ribosomal RNA (324 nucleotides) under uncultured eukaryote. RNAcentral describes it as "partial 18S ribosomal RNA". It matches the Rfam family "Eukaryotic small subunit ribosomal RNA", at positions 1470 to 1796 of the family's 1831-position model. The record is from RNAcentral.
CUCUUAGAUGUUCUGGGCCGCACGCGCGCUACACUGAUGCAUUCAACGAGUUUCUUCCUGGUCCGAGAGGAAUGGGUAACCUUUUGAAAGUGCAUCGUGAUAGGGAUAGACUAUUGCAAUUAUUGGUCUUCAACGAGGAAUUCCUAGUAGACGUAGUUCAUCAGACUGCAUCGAUUACGUCCCUGCCCUUUGUACACACCGCCCGUCGCUCCUACCGAUUGAAUGCUCAGGUGAGCCAUUCGGACUUUCAUCAUGCUGGUUUCCAGUUUUGAUGAAGGAAAGUCUUGCGAACCUUAUCAUUUAGAGGAAGGAGAAGUCGUAACA